This 427-nucleotide ribosomal RNA is filed under the name uncultured Actinomycetes bacterium. RNAcentral describes it as "bacterial SSU rRNA". It matches the Rfam family "Bacterial small subunit ribosomal RNA", at positions 955 to 1395 of the family's 1533-position model. Lineage: Bacteria; Bacillati; Actinomycetota; Actinomycetes. The record is from RNAcentral.
AUUAACGCGAAGAACCUUACCUAGGCUUGACAUGCAGCUGGUAGGGACCCGAAAGGGUACCGACCCGCAAGGGAGGCUGCACAGGUGCUGCAUGGCUGUCGUCAGCUCGUGCCGUGAGAUGUUGGGUUAAGUCCCGCAACGAGCGCAACCCUCGCUGCCAGUUACCAUGUCUGGCGGGACCGCCGGGUCCAACCCGGAGGAAGGUGGGGAUGACGUCAAGUCAUCAUGGUCCUUACGUCCAGGGCUACACACACGCUACAGUGGCCGGUACAACGCGCAGCGAUGGGGCGACCCGGAGCGAAUCGCAUCAAAGCCGGUCUCAGUUGGGAUUGCAGGCUGCAACUCGCCUGCAUGAACGCGGAGUUGCUAGUAACCGCAGGUCAGCACACUGCGGUGAAUACGUUCCCGGGCCUUGUACACACCGAAU